Molecule: non-coding RNA, 2948 nt
Organism: Camellia sinensis
Lineage: Eukaryota; Viridiplantae; Streptophyta; Magnoliopsida; Ericales; Theaceae
Source: RefSeq, a predicted model, not a curated record
AAAAUAAUUAAAUAAAUAAUUUUGUUUAUUAUUUAUACGUGAAUGGCCUUAAUUUUCAACAGUUUUGCUAGGUUGCUCCUAUUGGCUUGAAAGUGUUGGCAUCCAUGUUGUAGCCUUUGGGCCAGAUCCCUCAACCAUGCGUGAAACCCACGAGUUUACAAAAUAAAGAAAGAGGAGAGAGAGAGAGAGAGGAACACGAUCUUGGGUUGGGUUGCUCUGAAGUCGAGCGACCUUGCGUCGAGCGACCAACUUGAGUGUUCACCGACGACGACGAUGACCACCGACUUGGGUGUUCACCGACGACCGCCACUGACCACCGUGCACCUCUCUUGCUGUUGAGCAUUACAACAACAUUCAUAGGAGAUUGGCAAUCUGAUACUCCAGGAGAGUUUGGUGUUCUAAUAUUUCUUACCCACUGCCUCAUUUGCUGGCUCAGACCUUUGGUAAAGCCAAGGACAAGACUGUCAAGGUCUAUGCCAAGAAGCCUAAAAGGAGGAAUCCCUUGGAUGACUCUUAUGAUGCGGACUCUGAGAGGAGGAAGACCAAGCAGAAUCCUUCUCAUUCUAAGGCACCAACUACCUCACAGAAGGCUAGCAAAACUGGCCCAGGCACAGAGGCUGGCCAAGGUCCUGAUGUGGGUGACCUCACCCUUGAAGAACAAAGAUUUUUUCUUGAAGACCUGUCCUUAGCGGGGCAAGCACUGGUCUAUGAGGCUGCUCCCUCCUUAACAGCUCAUGUGGAUACUUCCAAGAAAACCCCUUCUUUUGACGAGGACAAUGUUCCCAUCAUUUCCCUUCUUGCAAAGUCUGCCACGAAGGCCAAAAUUCCUCAGGUGCAUUUUUUCUUCUCUUUUCUCUAUUUUUCCCUUUUUAUUUAGUUCACCACAUGAACUCCUUCCUCUCUUUUCUUUUCGGUUGAAGAGGAGAAAGCUACUAGUGACUGAGGAUACCAGUAGUCCCUCUAGGGACUCUGCUCCCCCAUCCUCCGACCUGAACCCCCAACAAGAGGAUGUAUUCGUCCAUUCUAUAGCAGAGAUAGUUGUUAAGCUGCCAUAUUAUGCUGCAACUGCUUUGCUUGUUCCUCCUCUGCAAUCUGUUCCUGUUGGGGAUGAUGAGGUCAAAGCUUACCACUACUCAAGCUCUGAAUCUUCAAGUCGUGACAGUGCAGCCCUUCAACUUAAUCAACAGAGGUUCCGUCGACAAGAUGGUGCUUCCUCUUCAAUGGUUGGGACUGGGGUUGAAGCUGAAAUGCAGAACCUAGAAGGGCAAACACCCAUGGCUGAUGAAGUUCAUUCUGCCCCUUCUGAAAUGGAAGGAGGAGAAGAAGAAGAAAUUUCCCAUAUCAGCCCUGAGACCGACAAUCCUUCCUUUGAGGCUAGGCCUGAAGAUCCCUCUAUUGAUUCUCCAAGGCCUGCCUUUAAUGUAACACCGAUCACUGCUUCUGAGGAACUUAUGGCAGAUUCUGCUGAGCUAACCCCUAAGCCAGCUCAAGCUUCUCGGACACUUGCCAUUUCAUUUUCUUCAGAGCAUAUCUUGCCACACUUAGCUGCUGGUUUUGAGACCAUUCUUGAGCCUGCUUCCAGGGCUCCUACUGAAACUUUUCCUGUCCAAUCCAUGCUAGAACAACGCGAUCAUCCUAGUCCUAACCAUCCUUCUGAAGGCCUUGCUAUUUAUGGCCAUUCCCCUGGGGCGGAGUAACCUCCAUCUCCUCAUCCUGUCACCAGUACUUCUCCUACUGAAGUGAGGGUAGCUCUCAUCCCUGAAGUGGAGGUCCAUACUUCCCAGGCCACCCCCUUUUGAGCCUUAUCUUCCCCUCCUGUGCUGACAUUUCUCCUAUGGCCUCAACUCCUGACCUGCUUCAACAAGCCAGUGCCUUUCAGCUGUCAUUUGCCAGUACUACUUAUGAGGAAAGAUUUAGGCAACUCUCCUUCUUUGAACAACAGGAAGUUGACUAGUUCUUUUUGCUACUGAGCCUCCCUUUUGAGGAUCUUGCCCUCACCAGGGCUGAAGAACUUCUUAGUGGGUUUCAGAGCUUUGUGACAUUAGCAUAAAGGCUCUUAGAUCCUGAUCAAUUCUACAUCUUUCAAGACUUCAUGGCGCUUCCUCAACACAUUUCCUCCAUGGCACAGUUUGAAGCUGAGACUGAGGCUACUAAUGCUAGGAUGGCCUCUGUGAGGCAAGUCUCUUAUACUCUGGGCAGUGCCUCUGCCAGAACCCAAGCCAUUUCUAGGGCCAGUGCCUCUAUUGAUGAGAGGAAGACUGCUAUUUUGGCUCAAAUUCAACAGCUCCAGGCAGAACUGGCCGCAGGUGAGGUUCAAUAGGCUGCUCUGAUGGAAGAACAAAGCCAUAUCAAUCAACAGAUGAACCAGCUCUUGGCUCAGGAUAGCCCAGUUGCCCUCAAGGAUGCUCAAGGGAACUUUUCCAGGUUAAGGCAAAAAGGAGAGCCAUCUUGUCUUCUUGGGCCAACGUUGUAACUGCCCUUCAGAGGGAUUAAGACCCUUUCUUUUUUUUUUUUUCCUUUUGUUUUUUUUUUUAAGACUAGAUGGUGAUAUGUACAUGAACCCCACGAUAAUAUUAUUAAUGAAAUCAUUCUUUAUUUUACCCAUGCUUGAUGCUUUUCCACAUGGUUGGAUAAUAUUUUUUAAAAUACUUUCCAUUUAUAAUUCUUCUGUAUGGGACUCCCUCUAUAGAUGCAAGAUGAUAGGCUCCUCCCUAGAGGACCUUGUAAAUCUUUAAUGGCCCUUCCCAAUUUGGAGAUCACUUUCCAAAAUUUGGAUCUUUGAAGGACAGUAUGGUUUUCCAUACUAAAUCUCCUUCUGAAAAUACUUUGAUCUUCACUCUUUUAUUAUAAGCUCUUUCGACUUUUCUUUUCUGAGCCAAGAGAUGGUUGUAGGCCAUAACUGUUCGUUCUUCCAGAUCUUGCAACUUCAUCAUCAUGGCCUCAGCAUA